UUUAGGAGCAACACUUCAGCUCCUUCCCAAGCAUCUAUUAAUCUGUUGGGAAUACUUCAGAGUUUAAUGUGCUUGUGAAAUGAAGACUCCACCGCUGCUAACUGCCCGUUGGUCAUUGGGGCUCGUGUAGAAUGAGGUUGCACUCGAGUCUCUGAGUCGUAAUCAUAUUCAGUGACAUUUUCCGAUUCUGUUUCAAUUCCUACUGAAUUCAGUGAAAAGGAAACUAACACAAAAUUUACGUUUCAGUUUCUGCAUAUUGCAGUUCAAGGAGUAUUCUGGUCUUCAACGUCAAUUUGUAGUAAGAAGGUACUUUAGACACAUUGCUUAACAACUUCAAAUUAGGUCUGAGCUUUUGCAUUACGUAAUUUGCUAGAGAAGUUUGCAGUCAACUGUACUAAAGAUGCUUUGCAAUAGCACACACUUCACUGAAGCUAACCGAAUAUACUCGUGCAUGUAGCCACCUAGUUGAAAAACUGUAAUGUACUACAGUACUGUUAUAAACUCUGUUUUGUUUAGUUGGUUUCCAAGAUACUAUAUUAGAAGUACUCAAAUAUCUAGGGUUUUGACAAAAGGAAUAGUUUCUAUAAAAGAUCAGAAACACAACACAUUCUACAAGGCUUGUAGAUUCACUCCAUUCUUGUUAAUCUUCUGUUAAAGUUGUCACUUCAAUGGUUGAGUACUUAAACAAGAAUUUUCAAUUUGUACUCAUUUUUCGUUUGUCUGCACUUACAAGAAAAAAUAACUGCACAGAAACUAGGCUACCCUUCUCCAAGUGAACUUUCUAUAAGAAAAUCAGACUGGAUGAGUAUAUGCAACACCCCAACUUGGAGAUUGGGAAAUGCCCAUCCCUAUUUUGUCUAUGAGGGAAGAUUAACAGCACAUAGAAACAUCUGAGUUACUAGCUUUCAGACAAAAUGACUUCAAUAGCAUGGCAUACACACUAUUUUCUUCUGGAAAGACAUGCAUCAAAAAAUACAAGGACAAAAAAUAUGAGGCAUGUUAACCAACUUAAGUUCCUGGUGCAAGCCUAAAGAAAAUGUUAUGUUACCCUUAAAUAAACAAACAAGAAUAGGAUAACAUGGUAUAAAACAAAAAUACUAAGAAGUUAAGACUUACCCUAUGGCCUUCUUCAAUAUAAGACUCGUCAUCAUCAAGUAUGAGACAAGAUUCCUAUUACCUUCUGCAGGACAUGUAAUACUCGUAUUAGAGAUCAUGUCCUAUAAAAUAGAUCAGAGAUCAUGUCAUAGUGUUUUCUCUCCACACACCUCAAAAACUCCACUUGAACCUCAACUUAACAUCAAAUUUUAAAAUUCAAGGUUCUAUAUAGUAAUUCCAGGACAACAAAGUUCUAUCUAGCAAUUCCAGAACAACAUCAGUUUCUAAAGCAAACAACAAAUAUAGAGAAAUAUGUUAAUUUGUCCACUCCUAGUAAAUUCAACAUUUAUUAGAAAAGAUCAUUGAAAUUGAAUAGAACUAUACGUGAAACAAAGUGCAUGUGAGCACUGAAGAGUCAAAUAUUUAAAGUCACACCCGUACUAGUUAAAUA
This 1546-nucleotide long non-coding RNA is filed under the name Solanum tuberosum (potato). RNAcentral's name for it is "long non-coding RNA (STUB_LNC008347)". The record is from RNAcentral. Lineage: Eukaryota; Viridiplantae; Streptophyta; Magnoliopsida; Solanales; Solanaceae.